Molecule: long non-coding RNA, 3255 nt
Organism: Pan troglodytes (chimpanzee)
Lineage: Eukaryota; Metazoa; Chordata; Mammalia; Primates; Hominidae
Exons: 7
Source: RefSeq, a predicted model, not a curated record
GCCCCUGCCAAGGGGUGCUGGCCACGCAGGAGGCUUAACCUGGCCGGCGCGGGAAUGGGGUGCAGAGAGCAAAGAAAUGUGGCUUUGAUCUUAUGGAUGCCUUACUUUUACAUUAUUUGUACAGUUCUUGCAGUGAGCUUUCCGGACCACUGUCUUGUAUGUUUCCUAAGAAAAGCAAAAAGGGAAGAGAUUGAAGAGAAAGUAGAUUUUCAACUACAAACUUUCAUCCAUUUGCUUUCAGCUUAAGCAAAUGUGCGCAAAGUUGUCAUGGAUUUUUGCAGUCAAUAAAAACCAAGCAAGAAGACUGAAUCCCAAGUCAUCUGGUAUAAAUGGAAGCAGUUUCUGUGAUAGUUCCACGCGGUCAGAAGGGUCAUCCUGGCUUAGGAGAGGGGCAGAAGAGGAAAUGCAUGCGUGGAAACAGGAGUGGGCAGGGAGGAUGUGACACUGUCCUCCUCACCAGGCCACGUUCCUGGCACCAACCAUAGUGUUUGGGCAGAUAAGAAAAGGAACAAUUUGCUGAAACUCCCUCUGCUUGUAACACAACUGACUGAAAUCAGCCGGAAUCAAUAUGGCCAAAUGCAGUUUGCGCACAGCAAGCUUGCUGUUGUCACAGCCUGAAUUUCUACUGCAUGUUUCAUACGAACUCCCUCCAAAUUUGCACAUGGGACCUACCAGGAAGCAUGAAGAGAGAGCCAUGCAUGCCUGAAGACUUCCCAGAUGUUCCCUUUGCUUCCACCAAUCACCUGCUAAUCCCAGGAUCCAACCCUAAACCUUUUGUAAUAAAAUUACUGCCCUAAAGCCAGUACAAGAAGACAGAUUUGAACUGGACUUCUGUUUCCUCAGAAGUUAACUUGCAAUGUGAAGCUUUCCUUUUCUCAAAAACUUGGUGUCAUAGUGUUGGCUUCUAGUGCAGUGAGCCCCUUUUGCUGGAUAACACUACCUGGUAAUUUGACAUACUAGGUGGUUAGUAACUACUGACUGUCUCCAGGUUACAACACAGUUAUUACCUACUUGGGUGAAAAGAGAAGACAGGAAAUACAUUUUGGAGUUGGCUGGCAACCUGUUUACAAAGCGAUUUACAACAGUUCUUUAUUCUUAAGGGGCUAUUCUAAUAUAAGACCUCAGAGAAACAGUGCAGUGUGACAAAGGAGGAAUUUAUCAAAUGAGACAGAAAAAGCAUCAAGGCAAGCUGUGAAAUGGUGCGGUAGGAACCAAAUAGAGAGCCAAAGGAUCUCUCUGUCACUGCAGGCCCUUAGGGAGACGGGGUCUCACUGUAUCAGCUCAGCUGGAGUACAGUGGUGAGAUCAGAGCUCACCGCAGCCUCCGAACUCCUGGUCUCAAGCAAUCCGGACCUCAGCCUCCCAAGUCGUGGGGACUACAGAGAAUGUACAAGUCCUCUGCCACAACGUGAGGGAGAGAAGUCUGCAGACGGCUGACUGGUGACGACUGAACAAGACGGAAAGUUGCCAACAGCAGAGACAACUGUGAGACACAGUGAAAUGAAGUGACUGCUCCACUGCUGGGCAACAGGCGACCCGGAUGCCAGGCUCCCUGGCAGAAGAAAUAGAAAGUCAAAAGCAAAGACGGAUGUCUUCCUCCCUACCACAUCACCUCCACUUUUCACCAUCGCCUGUGUGAUACACCCACCCCGCAAUGCCUUCCUCAGCCUUUUACUUCUGUUUCCAAUUGACCAAAUGUCUAUGAAGCUGCAGCAAGGUUUCUUCUUUUUUGGAGCAGGGAAUGGGGAGUGAUUGGGCUUGGCUGUGACAGAUUGUUUUGGCAGGCUCAGUGGGCAGAGGCCGUGAACACCAUCCCAGUAAGUAAAGGGACUGUAGGAGCGUAGAGUUCCCUUAGUUCCUGGCUGGAAACCCAGCUCCCCGCCUCCUCCCAUCCAUCAAGCUGGGAGCCAUGACAGUGUCAGAGCCUGAGCUCCUGCCCAGACUUCUGGGUGAAGUGGUCCCAUGGAGCAAAGCUUGGUUUGGAAGAUUUGGAGAAUGGGAAAGAAUGUUCUCUUACCACAGCCUCUUCCCCACCGCGGCCCCUUCCUAAGCUGCCAUUGAAAUCUAUUUUUGCCAGAGCAAAAAAUGGGGGAAGUGGACAGCUUCUGCCAACAGUGAGUUUGUUCCAAGCCUACCCCACAGUCAUGGGUUCCUCAGAGUGUCACUGAGUCACAGGACUCAUGGAACUCUGCCCAUGUCAUGAAGAUAAACCACUGUGAUCACUUUUAAAAUCUUUCUCAUCAUGUCCUUGGGAAGAUAAAGGGGUGGAACUGAACAGAAAGGGGCAAAGGUGGGACUUUUUUUCACUAACCUUAACCUUCAUGCCAAGAACAGAGAUCUCUGUUUGAAAGCAUGUCUCCGAUGACCAUUUAUUUGCUCUGCCUGGUAAACCUUCGUGUAAUGCGUGGCUUUAAGCAUUAGUCAUUCCCUGCUGGGAAGGAGGUUAGAACUCCAGAAACAAGGCUAUUGCAGAACUGGACUGUGUGGGUCACUAAACCACAGGGGAAAGGGUGGAGAAGCAGCUGGUGUCCCGCUUAAAGGUCACAAAGCAUUAUUUCUACUUUAAUACCCAGAGUUCAAGUGGAAAUAAACUCAGAAGGUUAAGAUCUAAGUGAAAAUUAACUGAAGGCAACUGUGCCAUUUGGACUCUGAGAUGUGCUUGCCUGGGAAAGUGCAAAACACGCUGGCUAUCUUUCCAUGAGCACAGCUGAACAGGAAUAGGCAUUAAUAAGGAUAAACAUAAAGAAAAAAUUGCUAAUUAUUGGCAGAGAAUGCCAAGAAAAGUUGGUGGAAUUCUCUUCUUUGGGGACCCUGGGAAAAGAACAGUAACAGUUAGGUACAGAGGCGCCUGGAAGCAAAGAAACUUCUUUCCCUGGGACAGUGGCUCUGUGCUGUGUGUAACCCUGAGUUCUUUAGGUCACUAUAGUCUGGGUGAGUGACUCCAGGGUUAUAGGAUGCAAUAGCCAUGCUAAUGAAGACUCAUUGGUUCUGAGCCCCCUUCCAGAAGUACUGUGGGUACUUUCAGCCUCUUUUCUCCCUGCAGAGUCUCAAAGAGCUCAUGUUCUGUCCUUGGUGAUUAAUACAGAUUUCUUGGCUCUUCCCAGCCUGCUAGUCAGUGAACUUAAUUUGCCACUUCUGUUGCUAAUCAUAACUCUUGCCUCAGCAUCAAGCUGAUCAUUCUUGCAGCUGUAGAUAUUGGCCCUCCUGCACUGGAUGCUCGCAGAGAGGGGAAGGCGGUCUCCUAAUCACCAUUUCU